UCGAACGCGAAAGUGGAGCAAUCCAUGAGUAGAGUGGCAAACGGGUGAGUAACGCGUGGGCGACCUACCUCAGAGUGGGGGACAACCUUCCGAAAGGAGGGCUAAUACCGCAUGACAUACCGUGUUUGGAUACACGGAUAUCAAAGCCGGGGAUCGCAAGACCUGGCGCCUGGAGAGGGGCCCGCGUCCGAUUAGCUAGUUGGUGAGGUAACGGCUCACCAAGGCUCCGAUCGGUAUCCGGCCUGAGAGGGCGGACGGACACACUGGAACUGAGACACGGUCCAGACUCCUACGGGAGGCAGCAGUGGGGAAUUGUUCGCAAUGGGCGCAAGCCUGACGACGCAACGCCGCGUGGAGGAUGAAGACUUUCGGGUCGUAAACUCCUUUCGACCGAGAUGAAUUUCCUGCGACCUAACACGUCGCAGGGGUGACAGUAUCGAGGGAAGAAGCCCCGGCUAACUCCGUGCCAGCAGCCGCGGUAAUACGGGGGGGGCAAGCGUUG
RNAcentral lists this ribosomal RNA (502 nucleotides) under uncultured bacterium. Its description in RNAcentral is "bacterial SSU rRNA". It matches the Rfam family "Bacterial small subunit ribosomal RNA", at positions 62 to 543 of the family's 1533-position model. The record is from RNAcentral.